UGAAACCGUUUAGGGGUAAACCUGAGAAACCCGAAAGGUCGAAGGGAGAAAUUCAUUCGCGUUUCGUGGAUGACGUCUAGUGGUUUUUUUGCGGCGAAAGCGUGCUUGCACGUUUUUUGCGCGUUCCAUUUGACGAGUCGACUGCGAACGCGUGCACUUUUCUCCUGGUAGGACGUCGCGAUCCGUCGGGUGUCGAUUUAAGGUCCGUGGUGGAGACCGUUGGCAGCGUUUCGGCGCUCGUUGACGGACCCGCGUGAUCCGAUCGACUCGCUCAACGGUAUACGAAUGGUUAGGGGCCGCUUUUAUUUAAGCGUUCGACCAUUGGCAAGCGCGCCGUUUUCGUUGGCGAUCGGACCUGGUGCCGAUUCUGACUUCCGGUGACUGUUGGCCAAUGAGUUCUCGAACAGACCUCAUUUUUUAAUAACCGAUCUGCGACGCUAUAGCUUUGGGUAAUUUCAGGACCCGUCUUGAAACACGGACCAAGGAGUCUAGCAUGUACGCGAGUCAUUGGGAAUCGAUAAACCUAAAGGCGAAAUGAAAGUAAAGAUCUUUCUUGCAAAGAUCGAGGGAAGAGAUGCGGAUUUUUAUGGUGUUAAAAAGCUGUAGAAACCGUUUCGCAUUCCCGGGGCGUCUCGUUCUCAUUGCGAGAUGAGGCGCACCAAGAGCGUACACGCUGGGACCCGAAAGAUGGUGAACUAUGCCUGGUCAGGACGAA
This 715-nucleotide ribosomal RNA is filed under the name Cryptocarenus heveae. Its description in RNAcentral is "partial large subunit ribosomal RNA". It matches the Rfam family "Eukaryotic large subunit ribosomal RNA", at positions 400 to 850 of the family's 3401-position model. Lineage: Eukaryota; Metazoa; Arthropoda; Insecta; Coleoptera; Curculionidae. The record is from RNAcentral.